Molecule: ribosomal RNA, 2930 nt
Filed under: Citrobacter koseri
Lineage: Bacteria; Pseudomonadati; Pseudomonadota; Gammaproteobacteria; Enterobacterales; Enterobacteriaceae
Description: 23S ribosomal RNA
Rfam family: Bacterial large subunit ribosomal RNA
Source: RNAcentral
GGGUUGUGAGGUUAAGCGACCAAGCGUACACGGUGGAUGCCCUGGCAGUCAGAGGCGAUGAAGGACGUGCUAAUCUGCGAAAAGCGCCGGCGAGGUGAUAUGAACCCUUGACCCGGCGAUGUCCGAAUGGGGAAACCCAGUGUGAUUCGUCACACUAUCGUUAGCUGAAUACAUAGGCUAACGAGGCGAACCGGGGGAACUGAAACAUCUAAGUACCCCGAGGAAAAGAAAUCAACCGAGAUUCCCCCAGUAGCGGCGAGCGAACGGGGAGGAGCCCAGAGCCUGAAUCAGCUUGUGUGUUAGUGGAAGCGUCUGGAAAGUCGCACGGUACAGGGUGAAAGUCCCGUACACGAAAACGCACAGGCUGUGAGCUCGAUGAGUAGGGCGGGACACGUGGUAUCCUGUCUGAAUAUGGGGGGACCAUCCUCCAAGGCUAAAUACUCCUGACUGACCGAUAGUGAACCAGUACCGUGAGGGAAAGGCGAAAAGAACCCCGGCGAGGGGAGUGAAAAAGAACCUGAAACCGUGUACGUACAAGCAGUGGGAGCCUCUUUUAUGGGGUGACUGCGUACCUUUUGUAUAAUGGGUCAGCGACUUAUAUUCUGUAGCAAGGUUAACCGUAUAGGGGAGCCGAAGGGAAACCGAGUCUUAACUGGGCGUUAAGUUGCAGGGUAUAGACCCGAAACCCGGUGAUCUAGCCAUGGGCAGGUUGAAGGUUGGGUAACACUAACUGGAGGACCGAACCGACUAAUGUUGAAAAAUUAGCGGAUGACCUGUGGCUGGGGGUGAAAGGCCAAUCAAACCGGGAGAUAGCUGGUUCUCCCCGAAAGCUAUUUAGGUAGCGCCUCGUGAAUUCAUCUCCGGGGGUAGAGCACUGUUUCGGCUAGGGGGCCAUCCCGGCUUACCAACCCGAUGCAAACUGCGAAUACCGGAGAAUGUUAUCACGGGAGACACACGGCGGGUGCUAACGUCCGUCGUGAAGAGGGAAACAACCCAGACCGCCAGCUAAGGUCCCAAAGUCAUGGUUAAGUGGGAAACGAUGUGGGAAGGCCCAGACAGCCAGGAUGUUGGCUUAGAAGCAGCCAUCAUUUAAAGAAAGCGUAAUAGCUCACUGGUCGAGUCGGCCUGCGCGGAAGAUGUAACGGGGCUAAACCAUGCACCGAAGCUGCGGCAGCGACGCUUAUGCGUUGUUGGGUAGGGGAGCGUUCUGUAAGCCGUUGAAGGUGUGCUGUGAGGCAUGCUGGAGGUAUCAGAAGUGCGAAUGCUGACAUAAGUAACGAUAAAGCGGGUGAAAAGCCCGCUCGCCGGAAGACCAAGGGUUCCUGUCCAACGUUAAUCGGGGCAGGGUGAGUCGACCCCUAAGGCGAGGCCGAAAGGCGUAGUCGAUGGGAAACAGGUUAAUAUUCCUGUACUUGGUGUUACUGCGAAGGGGGGACGGAGAAGGCUAUGUCGGCCGGGCGACGGUUGUCCCGGUUUAAGCAUGUAGGCGGAGGUUCCAGGUAAAUCCGGUACCUUAUUAAACGCUGAGGUGUGAUGACGAGGCACUACGGUGCUGAAGUGACAAAUGCCCUGCUUCCAGGAAAAGCCUCUAAGCAUCAGGUAACACGAAAUCGUACCCCAAACCGACACAGGUGGUCAGGUAGAGAAUACCAAGGCGCUUGAGAGAACUCGGGUGAAGGAACUAGGCAAAAUGGUGCCGUAACUUCGGGAGAAGGCACGCUGAUAUGUAGGUGAAGUGGUUUACCCAUGGAGCUGAAAUCAGUCGAAGAUACCAGCUGGCUGCAACUGUUUAUUAAAAACACAGCACUGUGCAAACACGAAAGUGGACGUAUACGGUGUGACGCCUGCCCGGUGCCGGAAGGUUAAUUGAUGGGGUUAUCCCUCGGGAGAAGCUCUUGAUCGAAGCCCCGGUAAACGGCGGCCGUAACUAUAACGGUCCUAAGGUAGCGAAAUUCCUUGUCGGGUAAGUUCCGACCUGCACGAAUGGCGUAAUGAUGGCCAGGCUGUCUCCACCCGAGACUCAGUGAAAUUGAACUCGCUGUGAAGAUGCAGUGUACCCGCGGCAAGACGGAAAGACCCCGUGAACCUUUACUAUAGCUUGACACUGAACACUGGUCCUUGAUGUGUAGGAUAGGUGGGAGGCUUUGAAGUGUGGACGCCAGUCUGCAUGGAGCCGCCCUUGAAAUACCACCCUUUAAUGGCUGGUGUUCUAACGUGGGCCCGUAAUCCGGGUUGCGGACAGUGUCUGGUGGGUAGUUUGACUGGGGCGGUCUCCUCCUAAAGAGUAACGGAGGAGCACGAAGGUCAGCUAAUCCUGGUCGGACAUCAGGAGGUUAGUGCAAUGGCAUAAGCUGGCUUGACUGCGAGCGUGACGGCGCGAGCAGGUGCGAAAGCAGGUCAUAGUGAUCCGGUGGUUCUGAAUGGAAGGGCCAUCGCUCAACGGAUAAAAGGUACUCCGGGGAUAACAGGCUGAUACCGCCCAAGAGUUCAUAUCGACGGCGGUGUUUGGCACCUCGAUGUCGGCUCAUCACAUCCUGGGGCUGAAGUAGGUCCCAAGGGUAUGGCUGUUCGCCAUUUAAAGUGGUACGCGAGCUGGGUUUAGAACGUCGUGAGACAGUUCGGUCCCUAUCUGCCGUGGGCGCUGGAGAACUGAGGGGGGCUGCUCCUAGUACGAGAGGACCGGAGUGGACGCAUCACUGGUGUUCGGGUUGUCAUGCCAAUGGCACUGCCCGGUAGCUAAAUGCGGAAGAGAUAAGUGCUGAAAGCAUCUAAGCACGAAACUUGCCCCGAGAUGAGUUCUCCCUGACUCCUUGAGAGUCCUGAAGGAACGUUGAAGACGACGACGUUGAUAGGCCGGGUGUGUAAGCGCAGCGAUGCGUUGAGCUAACCGGUACUAAUGAACCGUGAGGCUUAACCUUACAACGCCGAAG